Cebus imitator (Panamanian white-faced capuchin) is the source of this 1601-nucleotide long non-coding RNA. RefSeq lists it as uncharacterized. The record is from RefSeq and is a predicted model, not a curated record. The transcript is spliced from 2 exons. Lineage: Eukaryota; Metazoa; Chordata; Mammalia; Primates; Cebidae.
GAUUUACAGAAAAGUUGCCAAGAUAGUACAGAGAGUUCCCAUGUGCCUCGCAUCUAAUUUUUCCCAUUUAACGGUGCUUAGAUGGGUCAAAACUAAAAAAAGUGAUGACAGGGCUGGGCAUGGUGGCUUACACCUGUAAUCCCGGCAGUUUGGGAGGCUGAGGUGGGAGGAUCUCCUGACCACAGAAAAAACCAAACAUGACAGCAGUGCAUUACUAUUAACUACACUCCAGGCUUGACUUGGAUUUUGCCAGUUUUUCCAUUGCCGUCCCCUUUCAGCCCCAGGAUCUAAGCCAGGGUCCCACCUUGCAUUAAGAAGCCUCUCAGCUUGAGGAGUGCUAGACAAGUCUCCUGUAGAACAUCCCCAGCCUAAGGUCAUCUGGUGUAUUUCACAUUAUUAAAGAAGGGUUACCAGUUUUAGGAGAGAAUCCCACAGAGGUGAGCCUCCCUCUCACACCACAUGAGGGGCACCUGAGACGCACACGUGGCUGGUCAGGGGAACCUUCACUACAGGGUCGGGGCAGGGUCUGCCAGGGUCUCCCUGGGAAGCUACUAUUGUUUAUUAUUUGGAGGCAAGUCUCUAAGGCUACCCCACCCUCCCCAGGUGGGAGUAAUUAAACUAUGCUGCUCUAUCAUAUUGUUAUUAUCUAGUUAUUUUAUACAUUCUUCUCUUAUUCUGUUUGUGGUUUAGUGGAAUUCUGUUGUACUGCUGUCUGAUAUCUUUCUCUUCCUCCUUUGUGUGAUUGUUUUACAGGGCCUGCAAGUUUCAGACUUUUGUGUGUAUUAUUACAAAUAUCAACUUAUUUUUAUGUUAAGAUUCCUUUGAGCAUUUCUCACAGGACUGAUCUAGUUGUGAUAAAUUCCCCCAGCCUUUGCUUGUCGGGGAAAGGCUCUAUUUCUCCUUCAUCUAUGAAGUGUAGUCUUAGCUGGAUAUAGUAUUCUUGGCUAGCAGCAGUAUCUACAUCUAUUUCCUGGAAUUUUGUAAGAAAGUUUCAUCUCUUGAAUUGUUUAUUUAGGUCAGUACAGACUCAGGAAUAUUCAUUUGACUCCAGGGGCUGUAAUCCAAGGUUGCAUGGUUUGUCUGAGGCUCAGGCUUGGAAGCCCAUGUUUCUGUAAGAUGGUCCGGCCUCUUGGGUUGUGACCACCUCCUUCCCCUCUGGUGCUACAAGCAGCUCCAGGCUCAUCUUAUAUUUUUCCUGCUCUAACUCCAGAAGCAGCCAUUCCUCCAAGGAGCCCUGCUUCAUCUGGAUACUUUUACCUUUAGAAAAUGCUACAGAGGUUUUUUGGCAGUGGAGUCAACUGGCUUCAGACUUUUCUGACCACUCACCACUGGUCCCAGGACACACAGUCACAUCUAAGAUGCAAGCCAUGCACAAGGUGGCUUGCCCAUACUACUCAGGACGCCCUCUGCUGCCUUCUGCUCCAUCUCCUCCAUCUGUUGCCACUGCCAUUGUGGGUAAUGCUGGUCUCAUGCCAUGAAGUGACGUCUGAAGCCACUGGGGGCAGUCCACUCUCCCCACAUCAGACAAGCCCUGACCCAGCUGUAAUCAGAGGCUCUCGGUGAUUGCAACUAAAUAUGUUGAAGUUUUUGUGCAGCAACAA